GCUCCUGGGCAGAGGCUUUGUGCUGACUGCAGCUCGGCUGGCUGUGCUGGACUCAGCCCAGGCUCUCUGCAUCUCCCAGAGGCUCAGCAGGGCCAAGGGCAGCGUUGCAGCAAAGUGCUCCCUGCUGAAGGAUGGGCUGUGCCUGGUGCUGGCAGCGCAGUGGGACAGCUCUGUCACCUCCCUGGGCUCCCUGCUGGACAGUGCCUGCUGGCAGAACCAGUCAGUCCUGGACACUGCAGAGCAUCUCCUGUAUCCCCAGAAUGAGAAUCAGGCAAGUGGAGAAGUUUGUGCUAUGGAUGUGUGUUCUUUGUGCUCCUGUGAUCUAGGAAACUUGUUAAUAUUGGUUGAAAUUUCAAAGAAAAUGAUAACUUUUGUGAGUCAGAGGUGGUGACAGCCCCAAGCCUUGGCUUAGGCUGAGAGCCCAGAACAUGGGGAAGGUGACACCAAAAUCCUGUCAAACUGUCUCCCACAUUACAGUGGUGACACAGCUUUGAAUCAAAACAUUUGGAGAUAUUGAUAAAGGUUCUAUAUUUUCCAUAGAGAUUCUGUUACUUUUUGUGAGAAAUCAACACUGAGAAAAAUAUCACAGAAUUGUGGAAUGGUUUGGGUUGGAAAGGACCUUAAACCCAUCCAGUGCCACCUCCCACUGUCCCAGGCUGCUCCAACCCCAGUGUCCAGCCUGGCCUUGGGCACUGCCAGGGAUCCAGGGGCAGCCACAGCUGCUCUGGGCACCCUGUGCCAGGGCCUGCCCACCCUCCCAGGGCAGAACUUCAAGUGUCUGUGAUAUUUGUCAAAAAUAGUGACAAGAAAUGUUCAUUCAGC
Molecule: long non-coding RNA, 822 nt
Filed under: Zonotrichia albicollis (white-throated sparrow)
Lineage: Eukaryota; Metazoa; Chordata; Aves; Passeriformes; Passerellidae
Description: lncRNA (ENSZALG00000004223.1)
Source: RNAcentral